CCUACGGCACAUGGAUUCGCAUCCACGUGACACCUAGCUCGCAUCGUUUACGGCUAGGACUACCGGGGUAUCUAAUCCGGUUCGUGCCCCUAGCUUUCGUCCCUCACCGUCGGACCCGUUCUAGCAAAGACGCNUUCGCCACUGGCGGUCCNUCAAGGAUUACAGGAUUUCACUCCUACCCCUGAGGUACCUCUUGCCUCUCCCGGUCCCAAGACCAGCAGUAUCCAUUGGCAGCCUUACGGUUAAGCCGUAAGAUUUCCCAAGGGACUAACUGGUCCGGCUACGGACCCUUUAAGCCCAAUAAUAGCGGCCACCACUCGAGCCGCCGGUGUUACCGCGGCGGCUGGCACCGGUCUUGCCCGGCUCUUAUUCCACAUGCUUUUUAGGCGUAUGAAAAGCGUACGCAUUGCGCACGCACUCGAGGUCCCCUUAUCGCGCUUUCGCGCAGUGUAAAGUUUUCGCGCCUGCUGCGCCCCGUAGGACCUGGAUUCGUGUCUCAGAAUCCAUCUCCGGGCUCUUGCUCUCACAACCCGUACCGAUUAUCGGCUUGUUGGGACGUUACCCCAGCAACUACCUAAUCGGCCGCAGACCCAUCCUCAGACGCUAAAGCUUUAAACCGUAAGGCAUUCCAGCGUUCACGGAUUAUCCGGUAUUAUCUCCAGUUUCCCGGAGUUAUCCCAGAUCUGAGGGUAGGUUGUCCACGUGUUACUGAGCCGUAAGGGCGAAUUCCAGCACACUGGCGGCCGUUACUAGUGGAUCCGAGCUCGGUACCAAGCUUUGC
Molecule: ribosomal RNA, 781 nt
Filed under: uncultured archaeon
Lineage: Archaea
Description: partial 16S ribosomal RNA
Source: RNAcentral